This 283-nucleotide unclassified non-coding RNA is filed under the name plant metagenome. RNAcentral describes it as "partial contains small subunit ribosomal RNA, internal transcribed spacer 1, and 5.8S ribosomal RNA". The stretch from base 235 to 283 matches the Rfam family "5.8S ribosomal RNA", at positions 1 to 49 of the family's 154-position model. The record is from RNAcentral.
UUUCUGUAGGUGAACCUGCGGAAGGAUCAUUAUUGUAUAACCGAGGUGCGAGGGCUGUCGCUGACCCGAAAGGUCGUGCACGCCCGAGUGCCCUCACACACAUCCAUCUCACCCCUAUGUGCACCACCGCGUGGGUCCCCCUUUGGCUUGUUCGGAGGGGGGCUUACGUUUUCACACAAACUUUGUAUGCAGUGUAGAAUGUAUUUUUUGUUUUUGCGAUCACGCAAUCAAUACAACUUUCAACAACGGAUCUCUUGGCUCUCGUAUCGAUGAAGAACGCAGC